AGUGAACGCUGGCGGUAGGCCUAACACAUGCAAGUCGAACGGCAGCACAGUAAGAGCUUGCUCUUACGGGUGGCGAGUGGCGGACGGGUGAGGAAUACAUCGGAAUCUACUUUUUCGUGGGGGAUCACGUAGGGAAACUUACGCUAAUACCGCAUACGACCUACGGUUGAAAGCAGUGGAUCUUCGGACCUUGCGCGAUUGAAUGAGCCGAUGUCGGAUUAGCUAGUUGGCGGGGUAAAGGCCCACCAAGGCGACGAUCCGUAGCUGGUCUGAGAGGAUGAUAGGCCACACUGGAACUGAGACACGGUCAAGACUACUGAGGGAGGCAGCAGUGGGGAAUAUGGGACAAUGGGGGCAAGCCUGAUACAGCGAUACCGCGUGGGUGAAGGAGGCCUUCGGGGUGUAAAGACGUUUUGUUGGGAAAGAAAAGCAGCAGGUUAAUACCCCGCGGUUCUGACGGUAACCAAAGAAUAAGCACCGGCUAACUUCGUG
RNAcentral lists this ribosomal RNA (492 nucleotides) under uncultured bacterium. RNAcentral's name for it is "partial 16S ribosomal RNA". It matches the Rfam family "Bacterial small subunit ribosomal RNA", at positions 29 to 507 of the family's 1533-position model. The record is from RNAcentral.